UACAGAGGGUGCAAGCGUUAAUCGGAAUUAUUGGGCGUAAAGGGCUUGUAGGUUGUUAUUUAAGUUAGAUGUGAAAACCCUGGGCUUAACCUGGGACGUGCAUUUGAUACUGGAUGACUAGAGUAUGGUAGAGGAGAGGGGAAUUCCUGGUGUAGCAGUGAAAUGCGUAGAGAUCAGGAGGAACAUCAGUGGCGAAGGCGCCUCUCUGGACUAAUACUGACACUGAGGAGCGAAGGCGUGGGGAUCAAACAGG
RNAcentral lists this ribosomal RNA (253 nucleotides) under uncultured prokaryote. RNAcentral describes it as "partial 16S ribosomal RNA". It matches the Rfam family "Bacterial small subunit ribosomal RNA", at positions 524 to 776 of the family's 1533-position model. The record is from RNAcentral.